This 515-nucleotide long non-coding RNA is filed under the name Pan troglodytes (chimpanzee). RNAcentral's name for it is "long non-coding RNA NONPTRT000459". The record is from RNAcentral. Lineage: Eukaryota; Metazoa; Chordata; Mammalia; Primates; Hominidae.
GGCCGUGGUUAGGGCGGACGGAGAAGGGGCGUUCGCUCCUCUGGGACUUUUCAUGCCUCGUAUUUUUUUCAGAUGUGGCUUGGUCUGGGCGCAACGUCCCAGCAGCCAGCUUAAGCUUACUCUUCUGUGAAAGGGGAAAGUAUCCCCUGUGGAAAGCGGUUAAACUUGUGGAGGGGGUGCGGGACGUGAGUUCUUCCCCAUGCCAGGCGAAUGGUGUGGCCUUGAGCUGGUCCAGGAGCCGGCUCGACGUGUCUGAGGGAGGCCCCGGAGGGGGCGGGGAGGUGGCCCACAGAACGCGGGUUCUGUAAAGAGACGUUGGGAAGAUUCGAUUCCGAGAAGAGGAAGAACCGGAUUGAAAGAGAGCCAGGCCGCUGAGGGGGAGGGGGCUGCCAAGAUGGCGUCGGCCUCCUCCGGGCCGUCGUCUUCGGUCGGUUUUUCAUCCUUUGAUCCCGCGGUCCCUUCCUGUACCUCGUCCUCAGGUUUCAACUUUCUGUGCUGUGGGGUCAGUCGUAAGA